This 468-nucleotide ribosomal RNA is filed under the name uncultured bacterium. Its description in RNAcentral is "partial 16S ribosomal RNA". It matches the Rfam family "Bacterial small subunit ribosomal RNA", at positions 28 to 507 of the family's 1533-position model. The record is from RNAcentral.
GACGAACGCUGGCGGCGUGCUUAACACAUGCAAGUCGAACGGAAAGGCCCUGCUUUUGUGGGGUGCUCGAGUGGCGAACGGGUGAGUAACACGUGAGUAACCUGCCCUUGACUUUGGGAUAACUUCAGGAAACUGGGGCUAAUACCGGAUAGGAGCUCCUGCUGCAUGGUGGGGGUUGGAAAGUUUCGGCGGUUGGGGAUGGACUCGCGGCUUAUCAGCUUGUUGGUGGGGUAGUGGCUUACCAAGGCUUUGACGGGUAGCCGGCCUGAGAGGGUGACCGGCCACAUUGGGACUGAGAGACGGCCCAGACUCCUACGGGAGGCAGCAGUGGGGAAUAUUGCACAAUGGGCGGAAGCCUGAUGCAGCAAUGCCGCGUGCGGGAUGACGGCCUUCGGGUUGUAAACCGCUUUCGCCUGUGACGAAGCGUGAGUGACGGUAAUGGGUAAAGAAGCACCGGCUAACUACGUG